Transfer RNA from Podospora anserina, 84 nucleotides. It matches the Rfam family "tRNA". From Rfam's summary of the family: Transfer RNA (tRNA) molecules are approximately 80 nucleotides in length. Their secondary structure includes four short double-helical elements and three loops (D, anti-codon, and T loops). The record is from Rfam. Lineage: Eukaryota; Fungi; Ascomycota; Sordariomycetes; Sordariales; Podosporaceae.
GGCCGUCUAGCGCAAUGGUAGCGCGUAGCCCUCCUAACAAGGAGAUUAAGGCUAAGGUUGUGGGUUCGAGUCCCAUGAUGGUCG